UAAGGCUCGUAGUUGGAUUUCGGAAGGUCCUUAGUAGUCCGCCCCUUCGGGGAGCGGGCUACUGGCCUCCUAUGUUCCUAACGGUCCUCAUCCGCGAGGGUGGGGAAUCAACCGCUAGGAUCGUUUACUUUGAGGAAAUUAGAGUGUUCAAAGCAGGCGUAACUCGCCUCCGAAUACGUUAGCAUGGGAUAAUGGAAUACGACUUCGGUCUUGUUUCGUUGGUUUCGCUUGGCUGAAGUAAUGAUUGAUAGGGACAGUUGGGGGCAUUAGUAUUUAGUUGUCAGAGGUGAAAUUCUAGGAUUUACUAAAGACUGACCAAUGCGAAAGCAUUUGCCAAGGAUGUUUUCAUUAAUCAAGAACGAAAGUAGGGGGAUCGAAGACGAUCAGAUACCGUCGUAGUCUCUACCGUAAACUAUGCCGACCAGGGAUCCGGAGAGUUUGCAUGGAUGACUCCCCGGGCACCUUGUGAGAAAUCAUAAGUGUUUGGGUUUUGGGGGGAGUAUGGUCGCAAGGCUGAAACUUAAAGGAAUUGACGGAAGGGCACCACCAGGAGUGGAACCUGCGGCUUAAUUUGACUCAACACGGGGAAACUUACGAGGUCAGGACACUGUGAGGAUUGACAGUGUUUUUCCUCUUCUUUAAACUAA
This 647-nucleotide ribosomal RNA is filed under the name Vermamoeba vermiformis. RNAcentral's name for it is "SSU rRNA". It matches the Rfam family "Eukaryotic small subunit ribosomal RNA", at positions 622 to 1270 of the family's 1831-position model. Lineage: Eukaryota; Tubulinea; Echinamoebida; Vermamoebidae. The record is from RNAcentral.